Molecule: ribosomal RNA, 376 nt
Filed under: uncultured bacterium
Lineage: Bacteria
Description: bacterial SSU rRNA
Rfam family: Bacterial small subunit ribosomal RNA
Source: RNAcentral
UAAUACGAAGGGGGCUAGCGUUACUCGGAAUGACUGGGCGUAAAGGGCGCGUAGGCGGUUUGUUUAGUUAGGCGUGAAAUUCCUGGGCUCAACCUGGGGGCUGCGCUUAAUACAGGCAGACUAGAGUGUGAAAGAGGGUCGUGGAAUUUCCAGUGUAGAGGUGAAAUUCGUAGAUAUUGGAAAGAACACCGGUGGCGAAGGCGGCGACCUGGUUCAUUACUGACGCUGAGGCGCGAAAGCGUGGGGAGCAAACAGGAUUAGAUACCCUGGUAGUCCACGCCGUAAACGAUGUGUGCUGGAUGUUAGGUAACCUAGUUACUUAGUGUCGUAGCUAACGCGGUAAGCACACCGCCUGGGGAGUACGGCCGCAAGGUUG